CUGUUGUCAGGUCAUUAAAGAUUGCAUAUUUUGGCUUUAAUAUUGAUUCACUUAAAGGGUCUUUGCAUCGGAACUAAACACAUUUUUUUAAAAAAAAAACAGUUGUUGGCAUGACACGGGUUAUGUUCUUCUCAUAUAUUUUAUGAUAGUAUGAUACUAAACCCCUAACGGAAGGGAUUAUGCCUGAUAUUCAUAUGAUGAAGACAUAAUCUUUCAAUCAGUUUAAUUGAGGUCUGGAG
Molecule: long non-coding RNA, 239 nt
Filed under: Mytilus galloprovincialis (Mediterranean mussel)
Lineage: Eukaryota; Metazoa; Mollusca; Bivalvia; Mytilida; Mytilidae
Source: RNAcentral